GGAGCUAUAGCUCAGUUGGUUAGAGCGCAGGUCUCAUACCACUUUACGUAUGAUUCUCCCGAAUAACAAAAACGGGAGGAGUAAUCCUGAGGUCGAGAGUUCGAAUCUCCCUAGCUUCA
Molecule: non-coding RNA, 119 nt
Organism: Coniochaeta sp. 2T2.1
Lineage: Eukaryota; Fungi; Ascomycota; Sordariomycetes; Coniochaetales; Coniochaetaceae
Source: the annotation of a GenBank genome assembly